Small nucleolar RNA from Cercocebus atys (sooty mangabey), 79 nucleotides. The record is from Ensembl. Lineage: Eukaryota; Metazoa; Chordata; Mammalia; Primates; Cercopithecidae.
UUACAGAUACAAGAAAAAAGUAUCCUUGCACUUUUUCUGUCUGACUGUGGCAGCCAAGAUUGCAUGGGGGAAUUCAGGA